This is a long non-coding RNA of Falco peregrinus (peregrine falcon), 847 nucleotides long. RefSeq lists it as uncharacterized. The transcript is spliced from 3 exons. NCBI's taxonomy places the organism in Eukaryota, Metazoa, Chordata, Aves, Falconiformes, Falconidae. The record is from RefSeq and is a predicted model, not a curated record.
GUUAAGAAAACCCUUCUCCUGGAAGGCCUGCUCUCUUUCAGGAAGGGCAGAAGGACCAAGGGACAAGCUUGCUAUUUCAGUUCAAUGACCUGCCCUACAAAGCCAUUAGUUUAUGUUUGGAAUAUCUUGUAACUGACCUUUUGAAGCAAUACAAACUUUUCAGGUUGAAAAGAGCAAAGAAGCUCAACUUCCUCAGUCAAGUUGCGGAAUCUGCAUAACCUCCUGAUAAACCUUUUCACUUCCUCAAAGUUUUCUGAAACACUUUCUCAUAAGGCAGAAGCACACUUCCACCCUACACAUCUCAGUUACAUCUCAUGUCUGCAUAAAUAACUUUACUCAAAAUCAGAAGUGAACAGAUCUACAUCACCAUGAAAUAAUGGCCAGAAGAACAGGAAAAAGAAAACAGCAGACGUAGAAAGAAGCCCCAGCCUGAAAAUACCUUUGGCACCAUAUCCAAACUUGAGAACCAUGACACAUUCAUGCUGCAGUAGGCAGGCCACAGGAAGGGCCCUUAUCUACCUUGCAAAGAGCUUCCCCCAAAAGUAAGGAACCGUCCAGUCUAUUCUACAAGCCCCAAUUGACAAAAAAAAAAAAAAAUUAAAAAAAAAAAAUGGAGAUCUGGUUGUCCUCAGGUUCCAGAAAAUGGAAUCUUGCCUUGCAGAUUUCUACAGACACACAGAUUGUUACAGAACACCUUCUGUAGCUACCUUCUGACACCGUUUUGACCAACCUGUCUAGAAGACUGAAGUUUUGUAUUUACAACACAAAUUUUACAACUGUUUUGCUUUAAGGAGUCCCUUUGGUAUCACUGUGCAUAGAGUGUAUACAAUAAAUAGCAUCCUCUCUA